CUCAUACAGCAUGGUGCGUACACCAUUAAAGGCAGAAUGGGAAAGUUCGAAGCUGAGAAGAAGCUCUGGCACCAAAUGUAGCCUUAACUGCGGCACCUUUUCAGGUGGAACUGGAAAAGAUUUGAAAUGAAAAGGGCGAUCAUUUAUGGCCUCAGAGCAACAUGUUCCAACAAGUGGAUUCCUCAAAAAAGCAGUUUGAAGGCUGACCUUCAGCGUCCUCCAUCAGAUUUGGGCCUCAGUAGUGAUCACGAGCUAACAGUGCAGGCCUUAAGAUCCUGCCUUUAAAGGCUUUUUACUGCUAGCAGCAAAGUGCAUUUUAGCACUGCAUUCACCUCCACACAGCAGUCAGGCCUGUCAGAAAGGCUUAUUUCCCACCUCUUAUCCACUUCAUGGCCUUUCCUUUUCUGGAAAUCCUUCCCUGAUGAAGGUAGAGUGGGGGACAAAAUGUAGUGGCAUUGUUGCUUUUUUUAUUUUUUAUUUUUAGGAAUCACCUGCGGUGCACUUUAAUGCUUAUGCAAAACCCUCUUGAUAAAGCAGCUGUGGGUGCUCGCUGGUGGCUUUGAUGACUUUAAUUAAUGGCAUGCAGCAUUUAGGAAAUGAAAAAGAAAAAAAAAACUGCUUCGGAGGCCAGGCCUAUGAAGAGCCUCAUCCACGACCCCCAUUGAUUAAUGAAGUCACACUUAGUCAUCCUCAUUAUCUCUGCUUCUGAUAAAAGGCAACGCCGCUGCCAAGCCAACUGCAUACAGAGGAACUCUCUCAGGACAUUUAAGGUUAAGCUACUUAGGUCACACAAUCAGAACUCUUUCAUUUCUCUAUGCAGCCAUGUUUGCACACUACGGGGCAGAUUUACUAACGUUUUGUGCCUUUGCGAGACCCCAUUAUGUCAUUAAAAAGUUUACUAAAUAGGCGCAAGGGCACUUUAGCAUCAGUGAAAAGACCAGCGGUCCAAAGGUCACUGCUCUUUUGUGCUUUGGCCUCAUUGCAUAUGCAUUUCUAGGAGUUAGUAAAUACUGACUGAGCUAUUUAACGCCCGUCUUAUUUUUAGCACUAACAUGGCUACAAUUGUUGGUGCUCAGAGUGAAGAGACAGACAUCCUCUGUUAUUUUUCAAUGGAAAAAAAAACACUUGUAUCCUCAAUGUAAUAAAAGAAAUGGAAACCAAAUA
Long non-coding RNA from Pygocentrus nattereri (red-bellied piranha), 1164 nucleotides. RefSeq lists it as uncharacterized. NCBI's taxonomy places the organism in Eukaryota, Metazoa, Chordata, Actinopteri, Characiformes, Serrasalmidae. The record is from RefSeq and is a predicted model, not a curated record. The transcript is spliced from 2 exons.